CCUACGGGUGGCAGCAGUGAGGAAUAUUGGUCAAUGGACGAGAGUCUGAACCAGCCAAGUAGCGUGAAGGAUGACUGCCCUAUGGGUUGUAAACUUCGUUUAUAAAGGAAUAAAACGAGGCACGUGUGCCGUUUUGCAUGUACUUUAUGAAUAAGGAUCGGCUAACUCCGUGCCAGCAGCCGCGGUAAUACGGAGGAUCCGAGCGUUAUCCGGAUUUAUUGGGUUUAAAGGGAGCGUAGUUGGGUUGUUAAGUCAGUUGUGAAAGUUUGCGGCUCAACCGUAAAAUUGCAAUUGAUACUGGCAGUCUUGAGUACAGUUGAGGUAGGCGGACUUCGUGGUGUAGCGG
Molecule: ribosomal RNA, 346 nt
Filed under: uncultured bacterium
Lineage: Bacteria
Description: partial 16S ribosomal RNA
Rfam family: Bacterial small subunit ribosomal RNA
Source: RNAcentral